Molecule: long non-coding RNA, 4777 nt
Filed under: Brassica napus (rape)
Lineage: Eukaryota; Viridiplantae; Streptophyta; Magnoliopsida; Brassicales; Brassicaceae
Description: long non-coding RNA (BNAP_LNC001027)
Source: RNAcentral
GAGUUUAGCAGGAGAAGAAAGUUCAGGGAAGAAAAGGAUAUCGAUUCAAUCAACGACAGAAACGAACAUUUCAACAAGAAGAUCGAGCGUGCGUUUGGGAAGUACACGCUGGAGAUCAAAAACAACUUGGAACGAGGAACUGCUUUACCUGACUAAGUUACUUGAGAUCACAUGUGUGAAACAAGGGAAUGUAUUAUCUGGUCGAAUUAUAUGCUUUUGUCUGCUUAUUGUCUUUAAUAACUUGUAGAAUGCGCCAUCAAAUUCUCUCGUUAGAGGGAAAAACGGUAAGACGGAUUUUGUUUUACUCUUUGCCAGUUCUCUUUUAUACCUUCUCGAAAAUUGAAUGCUAACAACUGGCAAAAAUCUUGCGUGUUUUUUUUUUUUCAGGCUAAGCUUUGUGAAACUGAUUGAUCGGUUCGAUGCGGGGCUCAUGUCUUGGGAAGAUUUCUCGUCGGAGGUUAAGAGAAUACAUGGUAAAAGAUUAGGAGCUCCGUAUCUUAGACGGCCAGGAAAGGCAGGCUUGAGUCCCAAGUUGGAGGAGAAUUUUUAUGCAAACCCUCUUCCGGGUUGCUUGUGUGACACUUCUGAUAAACAAACCGGCCUGAACCGGUUUGAAAGACCAAGUUUACGAGCACAAUCUCUGAGAUAACCGGAGGUGUUUAGGUGUUCAAAUUGGUACUACUUAAAUUACACGAGGAAAUCACAUGUUUUGGCCUUUUUUUGGUUUUUAUGUAAUUAGGUUUAUUAAAACGUUAAUUCUAAUUGUAUUAGGAACUUGGAGAAAUAUAUAUAAAAUAUGAAUCAUAGCUCAAAACAUCUUCAAGGCCAGCAAUAUGUAAGGUUUGCUGGAAAUUCAAAUUUGAGGUUUGAAGGUGUUCAUUUCCUAUGAUAUAAUCUUAAAUCUUAUUUUAUAAAGAUUUAUAUUUACAUUAUAAUUUUUAAUAUUGAUCAAAAUUGAUUAAAAUUAUUAUUAUUUAUUUGAUUAAGCAUACAUUAAAAAUGUAUUUAAGCUAUCAUUAACCGGAUUAGGUUCUCAUUAACUGGAUUAACUGGAGUAUUGAAGUUCUAGUCUUCAGAAGAUCUUUCCCAAGUCCUUGUUUCUUUUAAGCAGACCCUCUUUUCACUGGAAUGUACAUUCAGCACCUAAAGUCUCAAAUUGAGUAUUAUUUUUUUAAACACAGUGAUUUUGAAGCAAUGGAACUCUGCUGAAAUCAUUAAAUCCCUAAAUAGAGGAAUGGGACCACUGGAGACAAUGCACAUUUCAUUGUUACUCUCCUCUCACUUUCUUCUCAGUCAAGACACAGAAACAACACAGAGUAGUAACUAGUAAGGUGUCUGAAAGGGGCAACUGAUUAUAAAUGCAUUUUGUUGAACUCACGAGAAACCCAAUGGCUUUCUUUUUUUGGACAAACCCUUCCUUCAAUACACUCACACGUCUCCUCUUGUCUUCUUCACUUGAAAAAAAAAGAAAAAAAGAUGACAACUGUAUUAAAUUGAUCAAGAUUUUCAAGAUCUUAACUAAUACAUAUUGUAAUAUUCUUCUACAUGUGAAAACUCAUCUCACCAAACCUGCAACUAACAAAAAAAACAAAACAAAACAGCAGAAGAAGAGGAAGGAGGACACCAGAAUGUACAUUACAAACAAACACAAAAGACAAACACAACAAUCUAAGAAAAUACCAAACUAAUUCUUGGCUUCUUCAUCAACAACAGAUUUUUCAGUAGCACAUUCCUCAGGAACCACUGCCAUUGACCGUCUAUUACCGCACAUUGUCCAAAGAUAUAACGCUAACAUGGCACCUAAAGUUCCACAAACCGCACCUAGAACCAAUGCACUAAGCAUUCUCCAAACACACUUUCUCUUCUUCCCCUUUACUUCCACCGUCUUCUUCUUCUUCUUCACCUCCACCUCCUUAACAGUCUUGGAAACUGCGUUUGGAUCAAGCGGCUGCGAGUGAAUCCUCAUUGAAGGAUGUCUCAGCUUAAAGCUCCAUGAGUGUAGAUAAUGCGGCUUGGAAGAGUUUCCAUUUGCAGAUGUCAAACCCACCAUAAACUUCUUUCCUUUCCAUAUCUUAGCCAAGUCUACCGAGUAAGACACCAACGGAUCCACAGGCUUCAAGGCAUUAGAAACACUCAAACGAACCUCUAUUCUCUUAGAACUUGCCUCGUAAUCAAUCCAGCAACUCAACUUCUUCCCUCCAUCGAAAUGUCCACCAAAAGAUGAUAAAUUUCUAAUUCUCGCGGAUCCAGGUCUACCAACUAAGACCCCCACACGGUUCCCUCUCUUGGAGACACCAAACUCAACAGCAACAACCUCGUUUCGCAAUAAAAAGCCUAGACCAGAGGAAGUGUUGUCCUUUCUACCAAACAACCUAAGAUCCAAACCACUUGGAACCAUUACAAAAGCCAGGACGCUACCGAUCUCUUUGGAGGAGGACGACAUUGAGAAGGAGAAGCUAGUGGAGAACGAUCCUGAAAAGUUUCUACCUUUAGUAGUAGUACCUUGGAGUAGUGUGAUGGGUUUCUUGUAAAGGACUCGCCCUUCGCUCCGACUCACCGAGCCGGUCAGCUGAAUCGAUGAACCGCCGCCGUUGACGAGCUUCGAAUCUCGAAACUUCUAAAGAUUUAUUGAAUCUCUAGACUUGUAUAUAUCCUAAGUUUUAAAUAAAAUUUUAAAUAUAUGAUCAGGAAAAAUAUUCUGAUAUAAGAUUAUGACUAUUGAAAAUUAUAUAUAUUCCGUUGUACACCAAUGAUUAAUAACCGAACAGUUUAAAUGUGGAAUAAAGAAAUUUGUAAAAAAAAAAGUAGAACAAAACCAACUUAUAAUUUGGACAAAUAAAACGACUUUUAAACUUAUUUUUCCUAUACAAAGCACAUAUAUAUAGCUGCACCCGUGUUAUACAUAAUCGGAAAGAAAGAAAGAGAGAGGAAACAGAAGAAUUAGAGAGAGAUUGUUUGUCUGCUCCUCCUGAGAUCGCGCGUAGAAUUAGAUUUUGAUGGAGAUUCAUUGAGACCCCAAAGCCUUUCUCCUCUGAUCAAUUAUUCUAAAAAAGUAAUUUAUUUAAAAUUAUUUUCUCCGGGAAGGUUUAAAAAAAGUCGUCUGUUUUUCACCGGUUACAUGUCAGUCCGCGUUCCGGUCCCGUCGAGCAGCAGCCAGUUACCGGCGGCGCCAACAGCAACAACGACAAGACGUCGCGUGACAGAUUCUCAAGAAGAUCAUUGCCACGUCAGCACCGGAGGAGGAGGAGCAGUCGUUUACCUCCCCGGCGACGAGGAAGAAGCCACGAGCAGCAGCGGCGACGAAGGAGGAGGAGGAGGAUCAUCUUCGUGUUGUCAGAGUGAUUCGCACCACAACUACCUCGUCCGGUUUCUGUCUCUCCGCAAAAUCAGGCUCGUGUGGAUGCUCAUGGCCGACAACAAAUCCCAAUGGACGGCUGCUAUGUCUCGGAACGUGAGAUCCGCCACCAAUCUCGGCCGUAUGAUUCUGUCUAUAUUAGGAAUCCUCGUCGUCACUUUCUUCCUCGUCGUUGCUCUCUCCGGUGGCGGUGGCGGACGACGGAGACACGUGGAGAAACACGAGUUCGUCGUUUCGAUCCAUCCCAGAAGUAACAUGGAGAAGAUCAUCAAAGAAGAAGAAUCUUCUUCCAGUUCCGCUCGAGUUCUCCUUCCUGAGAGAAACCCUGUAAGCUCACACAUGUUCUGUUCUGUUCUGUUCAUUCUUACAUUCUGUGUACUAAUAUUGGCUUUGGUACUUUUUUUUUUUUUUUUUUUUUUUUUUUCUUAUAGUCAUUAGCUUUAACUCUUUAACUUGUCUGUAAGAUCAUUUUAUAUAUGUCUCCGCUUUUGGUUUUCAGAAUGAAGCAAGAAAGUUCAAUCAAACAGAUGUCGGGUCUGAAAAGAAGAAGAUGGAAGCACCAACUGAGCCAAAAGGAAUCUCGAAACAGAAAUGGGUGGAGGCGAGGCAGAAAAAGAUUGGGAAGAUUCUCGAUGCUAAUGGUUUAGAUAUGUCAAAGGCUUACAUGCUCGAUACUCAAGAAGCUGCGGAAACAAAAUACAAAAAAUGGGAGAAGGAACCCACACCUUCUGGUUGGGAUGGUACAUGCAGUUCUCACCUGACUUUUGAUUUUGUUUUGUUUUGUUCCAUUGAUUGAUGCUAGUGUUCUAACUGGUGUAUCUUCCUUGCAGUCUUUAACCAGAAGACGUUAUACAACGCAUACAAGAAACGGACAAAGAACAUUCAGGUUGACAUAGAGGAGUACAACAGAAUGAGAGCAGCUGAUCCAGAGUUUUACCGCGAGGCCUCUAGCUUGCAAUACGGCAAGGUUAGUUGAUAUAAAUCGUUUUGGUCAUUUUAGAGAUUCAAGUCUUGAGCAAAGAAUCAUUAGCUCAAUCCUUUGCUUAUCUUUUGCAGGCACCAAAAAUUUCAAAAGAUAAGAUAGAUAAGAUGGCGAAGGAGCUCCAUGACAGAGAGGAGAAACGACAGGAGUUUAGCAGGAGAAGAAAGUUCAGGGAAGAAAAGGAUAUCGAUUCAAUCAACGACAGAAACGAACAUUUCAACAAGAAGAUCGAGCGUGCGUUUGGGAAGUACACGCUGGAGAUCAAAAACAACUUGGAACGAGGAACUGCUUUACCUGACUAAGUUACUUGAGAUCACAUGUGUGAAACAAGGGAAUGUAUUAUCUGGUCGAAUUAUAUGCUUUUGUCUGCUUAUUGUCUUUAAUAACUUGUAGAAUGCGCCAUCAAAUUCUCUCGUUAGAGGGAAAAACGGUAAGACGGA